ACACACCGAUAUUAUAUGGGUAAUCGGCGGUUGAGUCACCGGGGCGUCUCAACUCUUUGAUCCUCUCCAAACAUCGCUUCUCAAGAUUCCCGACAAGGUUCAUGUUGAAACACUUGCGUACAUCAAGGUGUUCCAGGUGAGGACAGCGGUCGAGAAUGACAUUCAAGCCUGUAUUGGUUAGUCCGUUCCCCAUAAGCUGGAGGUGGCGUAGUUUGGGCAUGCUUUCAGCGAUUGCUAGAGCAUCAUCAUCACAUUCGACGAGAGGGGGCAUGUCGCCUAACUGGCUUAUGGCAUAAUUGCCAUGGGCCGGCCCUGGGCAGCAUAAGGAGUUUAGCUUCAAUGUCUUUAGCUGUGGGCAAACGUGGCCUAUAGCUUUCAAAUCCAGUUUAAGCGAUGAGUGAAAGACCUCGAGGGUUUCAAGCAAUGGAAAUUUUGCGAUCCCGUUCAUAACUCCUUUGUUCGUCAUUGGUUCAUAGAUUGAAAGUCCAAGACUUUUCAGAUUACUUGAUCUGCAAAUAAUUACGUGAAGAGUUAAAUCACAAACUAAGAAUUAAGAAGAGUAACAACAGUAAAUGAAUAUCCAAUAAAGACCAUGGCGCGGCUUAAUUAGAAGAUCAAACUGUACAAUGAUGUUAUAAGCAAGUCGUCUAUCAUAGGAGUCCUAUAAGCUAAUGAUAUAUAUAUAUAUAUAUAUAUAUAUAUAUAUAUAUAUAUGCUAAUAACCUAACUACUUGCUUUCUUUAACCAUGACAAGUAAAGUUAUAUAUGAUGAUAAUAAUAACGGUGUGAAACAAAACAAGACUAGAACAAUAAUGUGAGAACAAUAAAUGACUAUUAUAAAUUUAUAACAGCUUCAUAGCAUGGAAAUUAGCCUUCAUAUCUAACAUAUUAAGGCAUUUACUCUAAUUAAAACACUGUUAAGGCAUGAGAAUAGAAACGAUUUACUCUAAAAGACUAUUAAGGCAUGAAAAUUAGCCUUCAUAUCAGUGCAUAUCAAACCCCAAACGUAGAGUACCUAAAAGAAAACUUUGAGUAAAUGAAUAUCCAAAGUCCAUUUAUUGCAGAUCUCCAGAUCAGGUAAAAGGAAAUUAAAAAGACAUGAUAAACUGAGUUUAAUUAACACAUGAUUAACAAAAAAAAAAAAACAACGAUUAUAAAUUAUCAAAACUUUGUCCUAAUUAAUCCUCAGGAGAAAAAGGAACAAACACAUAUCAGAGAUUUCUUAUCAGUCAAAAUAUAUAUACUACUGGGACAUUUUGUGUCUAAUUCACAGAUCAGUGAAAUCAAAUAAAAGUAAUAUCUCUCUAAACAGCAUUUGGAGAUUUCCAUGACAAACAGUUCAAACGUAGCUUGCGAAAGGAAUAGAGAGAAGAGAGAGAGAACCUAUCGGCGAUGUAGCUCAGGAGAGAAUCGCUCACGAAAUGUUCAAUGUUAAUCUCUAGCAAUCCACCCUGGCUGAGAUCAACAAUGUGACGGCACAUGCCCUCGAAAUCGAACCGAUAGAAUAGGCAGUCUCGCAAGUUGAUUUUCUGCCACAUCGAAGGGUCUUUACAUACGCGUCGCCACUGUCUGCACACCUUCCGAGCGUUAUCCAGUAUAUCAGUCACGCUAAGUCGGAGCAGGAUCGAAGUCGUCAACUCCGGCGGAAGAUCCAACCAGUUUCGUUGCUCUUUUCUUCGCUCUUCAUCUUCUUUCAUGAUCAACGACUGCAACGUAGUGGAGGUUGUCAUUUUCUCUUCUCAAAAAGAGGAGGCUGUCAUUUUCUUUUCUGAAAAAGAGGAGGCUGUCGUUUUUGAGGAUAAGAUUAGGUCAAAUUAGUGAAUAAGAAGUGAAGUGUAUUGUUUCGGACAUUUGGUCAUCGUAGUAUUAUGUGUCUACGGUACGAUUCAUGCCACGUCUAAUUAGGUCUCAAUACUCCUGAAGAAUCAAGCAAGACCAGCCGCAUAUAUCGCAGAUAACACUCACGCGCUAAUGUUUGCUUGAUUUUCUAAGGCCUAGGUAAAUACACGCGCUCAUAAACACUUUUGCUACCACAUCACUGAUAUCGUCAUGAACAAUCUUGGACUCGUUUUUUUUUUUUACUCGUUUCUAUUUAAGUAAAAAUAAUAAUUCCGUUUGAUUUUUUGUUUUUGUUUUAAUGUUAAGAUUUUCUACCAAAUAAAGUUUUAUAUAGUAAUCUAUCUAGCAGGAAAAAAAUCAAACUUAUCCAACAAAAUAUAGAUUUAAAAGAAUUAGGUUCGGUUUUGUUAAUGCUUUAUCAUCAAUUAUAUUUUUUAAAAAUAUGUUAACUUUGAUAUAAUUAAAUAAUCAAUAAAUAAAAAAUAUGGUUAGUUAAAUGAAUAAAUUGUAUUCAUCGUUUCGGGGCAAACCGUGAAUUAUUCUAGGCGAGUUCAAUGAGACGCUUGACUUUGAAGAACACGAUCCGAUUCUUCUCUCUUCUGGUUACUUCGGUCAUGCGAGAUUUCCAAGAAGUAGUGUACGCGGUAUUGUUCUUUAGUGGAUAUGAGGACUCAUAGUCCGCUAUUCACGUGGAGUAACAAGCGAGAGGAGGAUUUAGUUAGUAAUAAGUUGGAUAAAGUUCUUAAAAAUCAGAAGGAAAUGAGGAAUUUGAAACUACCAACAUAGAGAAAAGAGGAGAUAUGAACUAGUUCAUAAAUUGACAAGACCAACAAAAACCACAUCAUAGACAAAACAAGCGAGUUUGGGCAUGCUAUCAAGUAUCAACUAUGAAGAAAAUUCUUUUGAAAUUAUUUUGAACUUGUUGGAACGCGUGUUGAUUUCAGUGUCUGUUUUGAAGUCAUGAUGCAAUUUUGUAGGCCAGUCUUGUACAAGAGUUCUAUGAACAAAUGAUCUUCUUCUGCUAAUUAACCUACUAAUUCUUUUCAUUAACCAUGACAAAGGUUUUUUCUAAUUGUUUUUUUACGAUAACAUAAACUAGUUUUCAACCAUUAUUUAAAUUCAUGGAAGGCAAGGCAUUUUUCAAUUUCAAACAAAAUUGUUUUAGAAUCAGUAUCAAUUUUUUUUUCUCUCACUUUCUUUCAAUGUCAAUCAGAACAAUGAAAGAAAGUGAGAGAAGAAAACAGAAAAAAUUAAGAAACUGAUUUAUUUUAGUUCUUUUAUUUUUUUGGUUUAGGCUCUAAGCCAAAAAAAUUCUUUUUAUUAUUACUAUUUUAUCUUCAUAAAUUUUAUAUUUGUUCUCUUUUUGUGGGGAAGAUAGCUAGAAGAAGAUGAGAGAAUAGUUGUGUUCAUUUAGUUAAAAAUGUAUUUUGGUCAAAAUAAUAUACUAUUUGGCUAAUCCAUGAGAACUCAUUUUGAUUUUGUCCAAAAGUCAGAAGAAACACUUUAAAAAGUGUGUUUUGUGAAAACAUUUUCUUAAGAAACAACUUCUGCAUCGUACGCGAGUUACAAUCACGCGCUACAAACUUAAAAUGUACAAAGAAAAUAAGGGACUUUGAAACACUACCAAACCAACAUAGAGAAAAGAGGACUAGAGGAGACAUGAACAAGUUCAUUAUGUGACAUACUGACAUGACCAUAAAAAGCAACUUGUGUUCAAAGAUAUAUAUACUAUCUAGUCCCAAUAAAAGUCAUAUUAAACCUCAAUGUUGUCCAAGUCAUUGACAAAAGUGAUAUCAAAUGGGUGAUCAAAGGUUGAGUCAUGAUUUGAUGUGUCUAAAGUAUUUGAUCCUCUCAAAACAUCUUCCAGAUCUCCGACAAGUUUAAGCUGGAAGCACGUUUGUAAACACUCGUUCCAGGUGAGGACAACCAUCAAGAAUGGCAUACAAGCGUGUAUCACUUAGGUUGUUCCCAUAAAGGUGGAGGUGGCGUAGUUCUGGCAUGCUUUCAGCGAUUUCUAGGGCAUAAUCAUCAUCAUUGCGAGAGUUCCAGAAACCCCCUGAGGAGUUUAACUUCAAUGUCUUUAGCUGUGGGCAAGCGUGGCCUAUAUCUUCCAAACUCAGGUUUAAACAUGAGUGUGAGACCUCGAGGGUUUCAAGUAAUGGAAUUUUUGUGAUUGCAUUCAUAAGUCCUGGCCUCGUCACCCUUGGAAAGCACAUUCCAAGUCCAAGACUUCUCAGAUUCCUUGACCUACAAAUAUAUAAUCGCGCGUGUGUCGAAUUACAUCAUAAACGAUAUGAAGAAGAAUAAUAAUAAAAAAGAACAUAAGAAAUUUUCAUAGUACUAAUCAACUCAGAAGCAUGUAAAUAAGAAGAGCACAGAAGAGCAAACCAUUUGUUUCAAUUGGGACCUAAAAGAUAAAACUCUAAAGAUGCAUUAAGCAAGUCUAUGAUAAGAAUUGUAUAAGUUCUUAAUCUUCUUAUAAUGCUAAUAACCUAACUACUUGUUUUCAUUAUUAACCAUGACAAAGGAGAAGUAAUUAUGUAUGAUAUGACAGUAACGAUGUGAAACAAAUCAAGACUCGAUCGAACAAUGUGAGAACUAAGGCCUAUUAUAACAUCAUCAUAUCAACAGUGACUUCAAAAUAAAACGGAUUUUUUUUUUACUCCUAAAAUAUUAUAAAGGCAUGAACAUUGAGUUGCAAACAUGAGUGCAUUCAUACCAGACGUAGAGUACAUUAGAAGAAAACUUUAAGUUGCAAGACAUACAUUCUCGAGUAAGAGUAACUGAAUAUCCAAAGUGCAUUCAUAGCAAAUCCAGUAAAAGGGAAUAAAAAGACAAGAUAAGUGGAGUUUCAUUAACACGAGUGAUAAACAAAAUAAAAAUAAAAAUCAACGAUUAUAAAUGGGGAUCUAUAUUUUUUUUUAUAAUCAACGAUUAUGAGGAUUAGGGCAAAAUUUUGUUCAUAAUAUUUUUAUUUAUAAUCAACGAUUAUAGAUGAACAAAGUUUUGCCCUAAUCCUCACGAAAAAAAAAGGAACAAACACAUUUCAGAUAUUUCUGCCUCACUCAAAAAUAUAUAUAUCGACACAUAUCUUUUGUCUAAAGCCACCAAUUUCUCUAAACAAAACAGUAUUUGGAGAGAUUCCCAUGAAACAAUUAAAACAUAGCGAAUGGUAAGGGAUAGAGAGAAGAUAGGUAACCUAUCAGCGAUGUAGUCGAGAAGAUCAUCGUUGACGAAGUUCCCAAGGUGGAUUUUGACCAAACCACCCUCGCUGCGAUCAACGGCGUGACGGCACAUGAUAGCCAAGGGGUCGAGCAUUCCCCUAUCUCUGAUCAGGUUUCUCAUGUCGAUUUUCCGCCACAUCGAAGGUUCUUUACAGACGCGUCGCCACGGUCUGCACACCUUCUGAGCGUUGUUCAGAAUAUCAGCCACGCUAAGACGGAUCAGGAUCAAAGACGUCAACUCCGACGGAAGAUCCGCCCAGUUUCUUGGCUCUUCGUCUUUCAUCGGCGACGGAGAGGAGGUUUUCAUUUUCUUUUUUGAAAAAGCGGAGGUUGUCAUUUUUGAGGAUAAAAUUAGGUCAAAUCUGUGAAUAAGAAGUGAUGUGUAGUUUUGGACCUUUCGGCUUGUCUCUAAGUCAACAUUUGGUCAUCGUAGUAUACAGUACAAUUCAUGCCACGUAUAAUUAGGCAAAUACACUCACGCGCUAAUGUUUUUGUACUCGUUUUCUAUUUAAGUAAAAGUAUAAUUCGAUUUGAUUUUUUUAGGUUUUAAUGCUAAGAUUUUAUACCAUAGUUCCAAAUGUUGAUCUCAACCAAGCCUCCCUGGCUACGAUCAACAGCGUGACGACACAUGAUAUCGAGCUUCUGCGGUUACUUAAGUCAAUCCUCCGCCACAUCCAAGGGUCUUUAAAGACGACUCCACGCCACGAUCUACACACUUUCUGAGCAUUUUCCAGUAUCUCCGCCAAGUUUCUAUAUCCUCUUUCCUUCAUCGCCGGAGGUAAUGACGAAGAAGACGACGGCUUAAAGUAGAAACAAAUGAAAGAGGAAAGUAAAGUAAGAACUAAACAACCGAUCUUUCUUAACAAACCCACUUAUGAAAAACCACUGCAUUUAGCGAGCUACAAUCACGCGCUCAAAGCUUAAAAAGUUAAGAAGGAAAUAAAAGGACAGAGAAAAUAAGAGGAGACAUGAACAAGUUCAUAAGUUGACAAAACCAACAAAAACCACAUGUUCUCUGCAUUGUUCAGAAAGAUUCAGUAUCUAAUACCAAUAAUAGUCACUGGCAUCAUAGAGAAAAGAGGAGACAUGAUCGAGUUAAUAAGUUGACAAGACCAUCAAGAAGCAACCCUGUGACUCGGAUAGAAUCGGCAUGAAAUCAUGAUCUGAAGCAUAACUGACACACCGAUAUUAUAUGGGUAAUCGGCGGUUGAGUCACCGGGGCGUCUCAACUCUUUGAUCCUCUCCAAACAUCGCUUCUCAAGAUUCCCGACAAGGUUCAUGUUGAAACACUUGCGUACAUCAAGGUGUUCCAGGUGAGGACAGCGGUCGAGAAUGACAUUCAAGCCUGUAUUGGUUAGUCCGUUCCCCAUAAGCUGGAGGUGGCGUAGUUUGGGCAUGCUUUCAGCGAUUGCUAGAGCAUCAUCAUCACAUUCGACGAGAGGGGGCAUGUCGCCUAACUGGCUUAUGGCAUAAUUGCC
This 6541-nucleotide long non-coding RNA is filed under the name Arabidopsis lyrata. RNAcentral describes it as "long non-coding RNA (ALYR_LNC001442)". The record is from RNAcentral. Lineage: Eukaryota; Viridiplantae; Streptophyta; Magnoliopsida; Brassicales; Brassicaceae.